This 497-nucleotide ribosomal RNA is filed under the name uncultured bacterium. Its description in RNAcentral is "partial 16S ribosomal RNA". It matches the Rfam family "Bacterial small subunit ribosomal RNA", at positions 28 to 507 of the family's 1533-position model. The record is from RNAcentral.
GAUGAACGCUGGCGGCGUGCCUAAUACAUGCAAGUCGAGCGAACGGACGAGAAGCUUGCUUCUCUGAUGUUAGCCGCGCACGGGUGAGUAACACGUGGAUAACCUACCUAUAAGACUGGGAUAACUUCGGGAAACCGGAGCUAAUACCGGAUAAUCUUUUGAACCGCAUGGUUCAAAAGUGAAAGACGGUCUUGCUGUCACUUAUAGAUGGAUCCGCGCUGCAUUAGCUAGUUGGUAAGGUAACGGCUUACCAAGGCAACUAUGCAUAACCGACCUGAGAGGGGGAUCGGCGACACUGGAAGGGAGACACGGACAAGAGUCCUAAGGGAGGCAGCAGUAGGGAAUCUUCGGCAAUGGGCGAAAGCCUUACGGAGCAACGCCGCGUGAGUGAUGAAGGUCUUCGGAUCGUAAAACUCUGUUAUUAGGGAAGAACAGAUGUGUAAGUAACUGUGCACAUCUUGACGGUACCUAAUCAGAAAGCCACGGCUAACUACGUG